GGCGCAGCAGGCGCGAAAACUCCGCAAUGCGCGUAAGCGUGACGGGGCCACCCCGAGUGCCGUCCGCUGAGGAUGGCUUUUCCCCGGUCUAACCAGCCGGGGGAAUAAGGAGAGGGCAAGUCUGGUGUCAGCCGCCGCGGUAAUACCAGCUCUCCGAGUGGUAGGGAUGAUUAUUGGGCUUAAAGCGUCCGUAGCUGGCCUUUCAAGUCUCUUGUUAAAUCCAGCGAUUCAAUCGUUGGACUGCGGGAGAUACUGUUAGGCUAGGGGGCGGGAGAAGCCGACGGUAUUUCCGGGGUAGGGGUAAAAUCCUAUAAUCCCGGGAAGACCACCAGUGGCGUAGGCGGUCGGCUAGCACGCGCUCGACAGUGAGGGACGAAAGCUGGGGUAGCGAACCGGAUUAGAUACCCCGGUAGUCC
RNAcentral lists this ribosomal RNA (416 nucleotides) under uncultured crenarchaeote. RNAcentral's name for it is "partial 16S ribosomal RNA". It matches the Rfam family "Archaeal small subunit ribosomal RNA", at positions 329 to 747 of the family's 1478-position model. Lineage: Archaea; Thermoproteati; Thermoproteota. The record is from RNAcentral.